UCUGGUGAGCAUAGGGUAGGGGAAACACCCGGUUUCCAUUCCGAACCCGGAAGUUAAGCCCUACACCGCCGAUGAUACUGCCCCCCUUGGGGGUGGGAAAGUAGGUACUUGCCAGGC
This 117-nucleotide ribosomal RNA is filed under the name Bacillota bacterium. The record is from RNAcentral. Lineage: Bacteria; Bacillati; Bacillota.